UACGUAGGGGGCGAGCGUUAUCCAGAUUUACUGGGCGUAAAGCGCGUGUAGGCGGCUGGUUAGGUGUGAUGUGAAAUCCUCGGGCUCAACCCGAGAACUGCAUUGCAAACCGGCCUGGCUAGAGUGCAGGAGAGGGAAGCGGAAUUCCAGGUGUAGCGGUGAAAUGCGUAGAUAUCUGGAGGAACACCGGUGGCGAAGGCGGCAUCCUGGACCGGCAUUGACGCUGAGGCGCGAAAGCUAGGGGAGCAAACGGG
Molecule: ribosomal RNA, 254 nt
Filed under: uncultured bacterium
Lineage: Bacteria
Description: partial 16S ribosomal RNA
Rfam family: Bacterial small subunit ribosomal RNA
Source: RNAcentral